Molecule: long non-coding RNA, 1101 nt
Organism: Spinacia oleracea (spinach)
Lineage: Eukaryota; Viridiplantae; Streptophyta; Magnoliopsida; Caryophyllales; Amaranthaceae
Exons: 2
Source: RefSeq, a predicted model, not a curated record
UUAAAAAUAAAAUAAAAAUAAACAUUGACAUCCCGCGUUUGGGGGAAGGAAACACACAAGCGCAUCUUUUAUUUGGUUUUGUACUUGCAAAUUGAAACCUAGCUAUCCCCUUUAUUCAAUUUACACCAUUCUACUACUGCUUCUUCCCGCUCAUCCACUCACCAUUCUUGCUGCUACUACUUCUUCUAGCUCUUCCCCCACUUAUUCACUCACAAUUCUCCCUAAACUCCACAUGCAACGUUCGCCUCAAUUCUCCCAAAACUCCACCGGCAACGUUCGACUUAUCAGCUAUAAAGCUCUCCUUUAAUUACUCAGGAGGAGACGCAGCCAAAGAUGCUUGAACUUCAUCGUUUUUGCUCGAUUACGGAACUGGAACUUCAUAGCAACUGGAACUCCUUUGCUUAAGAUAUGGAACUUCAUCAUUUUAGCGGUUGUUCGAGCCCAUAGAUAUGCAAAUUUUUCUAAAAUUGAAAGUUGAACGACGGCUAAUUUAGCGGUCAGGUGUGGCGUGAGAGGAACAUUAAAUCCUCCUUGUAAUGCAGUUGGGUAUGUUGAUAGAAAAUUUCUAGGGAUUAAUCAUGUGUAUCAACAUCCGGCUUGGAGGAGAUCUAAGGUGAGUGGUGAACAUAAGCAUGCUUUAGAUGGUCUUUAUUAGUCCUAGUGCCCUAUAAAACUCCAUUGAUUGUGUAUCAGAAAUAUCAAUAUAUCAUAAUAUAGUUGCAUCGACAUUUUUAAAAAGAGAUAUUUUAUUGUGCUUGUCGAAAUACUGCGGGCUUGCACAGAAAACUCUCCUUGCAAGGGGCCUCUUCUGGAAAAUGCUCCCUCCUGGUGUCAUGCACCAUUUAAGCCAGAAGGAAUUUUGAGGUUUGUACAUUUGUACUUCGUGUGACUUCGUAUUAAUAGGCUUAUGUUCCUGUUUGUGGUUGAUUACUUAUAGACUAGUAAAUUGUAACUUAAUGAUGGGGGACCUUACAUAAUACUCCGCAUAUGGUACUGCAAAAUCUUGUUUCUAGUACCUUUCUAAACCUGUUGAAUUGCAACAUGCAACUAUGCAAGUCAGCAUAGCUCAGCUUCUAGUAUGAGUAUGAGCUUAUUUCUGGA